UUGCUGUGGUAACAACCUUUGGGACACCUUUGGAUUAACCAUGAAAAAAAAACAAUGUUCUGAACAAC
Molecule: small nucleolar RNA, 68 nt
Organism: Dama dama (fallow deer)
Lineage: Eukaryota; Metazoa; Chordata; Mammalia; Artiodactyla; Cervidae
Product: small nucleolar RNA SNORD58
Exons: 1
Source: RefSeq, a predicted model, not a curated record